This is a long non-coding RNA of Orbicella faveolata, 451 nucleotides long. Lineage: Eukaryota; Metazoa; Cnidaria; Anthozoa; Scleractinia; Merulinidae. The record is from RefSeq and is a predicted model, not a curated record.
UCUGAAGAAGUUUGUACCUCGCUGUUGUUCUGUAAUUGGACACCUAACCUCUGUGGAAGCGGUUGCAGAAGAAGAGGAAGUUGAUGAUCAGCUGUUAUGGAAUCUCCAGAUUUUAUCGGAGGUUGUGCGUUCCAGUGGAUCAUUACAGUAUAAAGAUAAACUCAUUGCGGCAAUUAAAUCAACCAUUUACCUCAAGUGCAAAGAAGCAGCUACUCUGGGAGCUAUAGUAAGUAGCCUAAAAGCCUGGUGGUUUCUAGAGGUCACCUCGCCAUACAUUGAAAUAUUUAUAAAUAAUUACUAUAUUAGGCAAAAAGGAAAAUAAAUAGAAUGAAUGAAUGAAUGAGUUCAUUCCAUUGUAUUUACCAAUAUUAUAUGUUAUUGUACAUUGAACUCACUUUCUCUUUUCUGAUUGGCCGAAAGCGUACAGUGAAUUUUCGAAAUCAGCACCUGU